GACGAACGCUGGCGGCGUGCCUAAUACAUGCAAGUUGAGCGCUGAAGGUUGGUACUUGUACCGACUGGAUGAGCAGCGAACGGGUGAGUAACGCGUGGGGAAUCUGCCUUUGAGCGGGGGACAACAUUUGGAAACGAAUGCUAAUACCGCAUAAAAACUUUAAACACAAGUUUUAAGUUUGAAAGAUGCAAUUGCAUCACUCAAAGAUGAUCCCGCGUUGUAUUAGCUAGUUGGUGAGGUAAAGGCUCACCAAGGCGAAGAUACAUAGCCGACCUGAGAGGGUGAUCGGCCAAAAUGGGAAUGAGACACGGCCCAAACUCCUACGGGAGGCAGCAGUAGGGAAUCUUCGGAAAUGGACGAAAGGCUGACCGAGCAACGCCGCGUGAGUGAAGAAGGUUUUCGGAUCGUAAAACUCUGUUGGUAGAGAAGAACGUUGGUGAGAGUGGAAAGCUCAUCAAGUGACGGUAACUACACAGAAAGGGACGGCUAACUACGUG
RNAcentral lists this ribosomal RNA (497 nucleotides) under uncultured bacterium. RNAcentral describes it as "partial 16S ribosomal RNA". It matches the Rfam family "Bacterial small subunit ribosomal RNA", at positions 28 to 507 of the family's 1533-position model. The record is from RNAcentral.